UGGUCAAGCAUGAGGAGGAACUGCCUG
RNAcentral lists this non-coding RNA (27 nucleotides) under Rattus norvegicus (Norway rat). Lineage: Eukaryota; Metazoa; Chordata; Mammalia; Rodentia; Muridae. The record is from RNAcentral.